AGCUUCACCAGCCUUUCCAGGUUGAGAGAGGAGUGUGGGUGGGCUCUCCCUCUUCUUCACCCUUCUGUAUUAAAGUAGCUGGAGUGGCAGAGGGGGCAUGAUGUGGAAAGACGGUGCCAGCACUAGACAUCUGCCUUCAUAAGGGAUUCAGAACCAGCCAGAGCGUGAGGGAAAUCACAUUUCAAAUACCAUGCUCACUUUUCUUUUUAGGACGUUGUGUCCCUGAACACCUUCAGAUUCUCCAGUGUCGCAGAACUUGUCCUAACCUGGUACAAGGCUGUCUUUCUACAUGUGGGGCGUGGAGGCAGUAGGAAGCAGCGUGGAGGUGAUCAGAAGGGCAAAGAGGUCGUGGCAAGCUUCAGCAAAUACCCAGGAGAGUUUGGAGACCCCGGGAAGACCCAGCUCUGGUGGCUGCUGGACUGAAUCCAUCCAUGAAGAUCUCGAGGAUGCUGGAGGAUUUUAGGGAGUUUGGCAGAGAAAAGGCAGGAACUACGGAAGCAGAGGGCAACCGAUAUAUGGGUGACAUCUUGUAUCCAGAGCUGAGCAAGACAUUCCUCCGAAUCUACCUCCUUGGUACCACAGUCCUUGGGGCACCAGGAAGACUCUUCCUUCUGUGAUUUUCCCAUCAGGCUCUCUGUCUUCAGAGUUUCCUCGGGAACACAGAUAUAUUUGCCCAGGGUCCCUAUAAGCAGAAAGUUCCCCGUUAUGCAAGCGACUGCUCCAAAAAGGGAAAGCAGGAGCCAACACACUGGCGACCGAAUCUCUCAGCCAGGUUUCCCUGGAACUUUGUCAAGCAGCAUCCUCCAUCUCAGGAUCCCUCGUGCCAUGGCCUGCGCCACUCUUGUCUCUUGAUCACAAUAAAGGGCAGACUCUCUCAGACAUCCGCAGGAGUCAGGCUGCUCUCAGCAGGUGUCCAUGAAACCCUUCCACUCCUACUGAAUCCUCCAGGGCCCUCACACACUGAGAGGAGCGCUGGAAGGCUCAGCCCAUCAGUUAAUGUUUUAAUUCUGCCUGGCAUGGAAGCUGCUCUCAGAGAGGUCUGUGUAGAAGGUAGCAGAAUCGACUCUCUGUGUGAUCAUGUGCCACCCAUGACACCUUUUGUGGCCUGUGUUGGGACCACACAUUACCUCGCCCAUCAGGGCUCAUUUUGACUCUUCUAAGACUGCAUCGUGUGACUCAGGUAAUGUUCAGUCAUGGGGUCUCUACCCUCCUGGCCAAGGAUAAGAAUUGCCUCUGUCUCCUUUGGUUUGGUGAUGCUUCACAGUGAGAACUGCCUAAAAAUAUCCUGUGUACCCCAGAGACACGGGAAGGACAAGAGAAGAGAGGGACAAUGGAACAAAGGGCAGUCUCCCUGCAAGUCAGGUAACGACACCCCACCUUCCUUUAAUCUAGGCUAGGAGCUUUGUUUUCUACUAAGACAGGGUGGGUUGAACUAGAACAGAUCACGAAUGACCAGGGAGACUUGUCACGGGCCCUUUCCCCUUGCUUUCUCUGACACUGAUCACCAUACACAGCCUGCUGCAGUUCCCUGUGGACGGCCAGAGUGGAGAGAACUUUUUGUCCAAAGUCCUAUGGCUCCUGAGCAAUG
Non-coding RNA from Myodes glareolus (Bank vole), 1588 nucleotides. NCBI's taxonomy places the organism in Eukaryota, Metazoa, Chordata, Mammalia, Rodentia, Cricetidae. The record is from RefSeq and is a predicted model, not a curated record.